This 332-nucleotide unclassified non-coding RNA is filed under the name soil metagenome. RNAcentral describes it as "partial contains 5.8S ribosomal RNA, internal transcribed spacer 2, and large subunit ribosomal RNA". The stretch from base 1 to 120 matches the Rfam family "5.8S ribosomal RNA", at positions 35 to 154 of the family's 154-position model. The record is from RNAcentral.
GAUGAAGAACGUAGCGAAAUGCGAUACGUAAUGUGAAUUGCAGAAUUCAGUGAAUCAUCGAGUCUUUGAACGCACAUUGCGCCCUUUGGUAUUCCUUAGGGCAUGCCUGUUCGAGCGUCAUUUAAACCUUCAAGCUAAGCUUGGUGUUGGGUGACUGUCCGCUUCACGGCGGACUCGCCUCAAAAUUAUUGGCGGCCGGUACAUUGGCUUCGAGCGCAGCAGAAACGCGAACUCGGGCCCGUCGUAUUGGCUCCCAGAAGCUAUCUUCACAAUUUUGACCUCGGAUCAGGUAGGGAUACCCGCUGAACUUAAGCAUAUCAAUAAGCGGAGGA